UGAUGUUUCCUCUGACAUGUAAUCGUAGUCAUCAAUCAUUUCUUAAAUAAAGCUUCUGUAACAAACGAUAUAUAUAGGACCACUUUAAAAUCAGACUACAUGUACAUGUACAUGUAACAAGUUUUUAUUUGAAGGAAUGUAUGGUCUUCAUUCUCAUAAAUCAUACAUGUUACAGUUUUCCUCUUUUCUGUUGUCAUGACAGUUUUACUUUUAGUCACAGACAGCUGAAAAUUAGUCAACGAAGCUGGACUAGGAUGAUAGUUACUUUGCGUACUGUGGCGUGUAGUAGAUAUAACGAUUUUCUUAUUAUUGUGUCGUCCAUUUUAAGGACACCAAAAGAAAAAAAGAAAAAUAUUUGAAAAUGGAGGGAAUGUGAAAAUAUUCAAGGAAUUUUGAAUGUCCCUAGAUAAAAAGGAUUUAACAAUUUUCUUGAAAAGGCGACCGCCUUACUGAUCGCCGACAUGAAAAUGAGUCUAUGUUUCGUAAGAACAUAUGUAGCCAUACUCCUAUGCAUAAUGCCUUGAAAUAUUUGGAAAGUCAGAUUCAAGAGAGCUUAAAAAACUAGACGAUUAGGCAAAUAAAAUAAAAUAGCCAGACAAAAUGUGACAAACCUGUUUUGAUUUGCGGUCUAGACUUUAUAAAUGUGCACGAUUGAGAAAUUUUGAUUUACAAGUGUCGUACUACAAGCUCGGAUGACUACUACAUGUACAAUGUAAAGAAAAGUUAUGAAAAAUAAAAAAAUCAAUUUAUUACGUUAAACAUCUUAUCCACAUGCUAAAUGUCACCUUAACCAAUGUCUAGAGCUAUAUAUCUUCUUAAAACGAAUAGUUUAGACUUUGUACACUUUUAUUAUCCUCUUAGGAUGUUAUUAGCAAUUAUUUGAAUAUAAUAACAUAAUAAUUCCAAUUUUUCAGACGCCUAAACCUGCAGGAACUCUAGUGCAGAUAGGUUUGAACAUUACAACAAAUGACUUUGUUUAAAGUACAUUUCAGUAGAUGGCCACGUUCCAGCAAAUUAAUUACCAAAAUAAACUGUUAAACACAUUUGCA
This is a long non-coding RNA of Mytilus californianus (California mussel), 1049 nucleotides long. RefSeq lists it as uncharacterized. The transcript has 2 exons. The record is from RefSeq and is a predicted model, not a curated record. NCBI's taxonomy places the organism in Eukaryota, Metazoa, Mollusca, Bivalvia, Mytilida, Mytilidae.